GCAUGUCUAAGUAUAAGCAAUUAUACGGCGAAACUGCGAAUGGCUCAUUAUAUAAGUUAUCGUUUAUUUGAUAGUGCCUUACUACAUGGAACCUGUGGUAAUUCUAGAGCUAAUACAUGCUAAAAAUCCCGACUUCGGAAGGGAUGUAUUUAUUAGAUUAAAAACCAAUGCCCUCUGGGCUCUCUGGUGAUUCAUGAUAACUCCUCGAAUCGCACGGCCUUGCGCCGGCGAUGGUUCAUUCAAAUUUCUUCCCUAUCAACUUUCGAUGUUUGGGUAGUGGCCAAACAUGGUGGCAACGGGUAACGGAGGGUUAGGGCUCGACCCCGGAGAAGGAGCCUGAGAAACGGCUACUACAUCCAAGGAAGGCAGCAGGCGCGCAAAUUACCCAAUCCGAUUCGGGGAGGUAGUGACAAUAAAUACUGAUACAGGGCUCUUUUGGGUCUGUAAUUGGAAUGAGUACAAUUUAAAUCCCUUAACAGAACAAUUGAGGGCAAGUCUGGUGCCAGCAGCCGCGGUAAUUCCAGCUCCAAUAGCGUAUAUUAAAGUUGUGUGGUUAAAAACUGUAGUUGAACCUUGGGCCUGGCUGGCCGGUCCGCCUCACCGCGUGCACUGGUCCGGCCGGGUCUUCCCUCUGUGGAACCACAUGCCCUUCACUGGGCGUGGCGGGAAAACAGAACUUUUACUUUGAAAAAAUUAGAGUGCUCCAGGCAGGCCUUUGCUCGAAUACAUUAGCAUGGAAUAAUGAAAUAGGACGUGCGGUUCUAUUUUGUUGGUUUCUAGGACCGCCGUAAUGAUUAAUAGGGACAGUCGGGGGCAUCAGUAUUCAAUAGUCAGAGGUGAAAUUCUUGGAUUUAUUGAAGACUAACUACUGCGAAAGCAUUUGUCAAGGAUGUUUUCAUUAAUCAGGAACGAAAGUUAGGGGAUCGAAGACGAUCAGAUACCGUCGUAGUCUUAACCAUAAACUAUGCCGACUAGGGAUCGGACGACGUUAAUUUUUGACUCGUUCGGCACCUCACGAGAAAUCAAAGUGCUUGGGCUCCAGGGGGAGUAUGGUCGCAAGGCUGAAACUUAAAGAAAUUGACGGAAAGGCACCACCAGGGGUGAGCCUGCGGCUUAAUUUGACUCAACACGGGGAAACUCACCAGGUCCAGACACAAUGAGGAUUGACAGAUUGAGAGCUCUUUCUUGAUUUUGUGGGUGGUGGUGCAUGGCCGUUCUUAGUUGGUGGAGUGAUUUGUCUGCUUAAUUGCGAUAACGAACGAGACCUUAACUUACUAAAUAGCCAGUAUUGCUUUGGCAGUACGCCGGCUUCUUAGAGGGACUAUCGGCUCAAGCCGAUGGAAGUUUGAGGCAAUAACAGGUCUGUGAUGCCCUUACAUGUUCUGGGCCGCACGCGCGCUACACUGACGGAGCCAGCGAGUACUUCCUUGGUCGGAAGACCCGGGUAAUCUUGUGAAACUCCGUCGUGCUGGGGAUAGAGCAUUGCAAUUAUUGCUCUUCAACGAGGAAUCCCUAGUAAGCGCAAGUCAUCAGCUUGCGUUGACUACGUCCCUGCCUUUUGUACACACCGCCCGUCGCUACUACCGAUUGAAUGGCUCAGUGAGGCGUCCGGACUGGCCCAGAGAGGUGGGCAACCACCACUCAGGGCCGGAAAGCUCUCAACAGUCAUUUAGAGGAAGUAAAAGUCGUAACAAGG
RNAcentral lists this ribosomal RNA (1696 nucleotides) under Purpureomyces khaoyaiensis. RNAcentral describes it as "SSU rRNA". It matches the Rfam family "Eukaryotic small subunit ribosomal RNA". The record is from RNAcentral. Lineage: Eukaryota; Fungi; Ascomycota; Sordariomycetes; Hypocreales; Clavicipitaceae.